UGGAUUUCUAGCAUCUGCGGAUUCUCUCCUGUUUUAAACUAUUUAUUGGUUUGUUGGACACAUUCUCUUUAUCAAUGAGCUCCCAUGCUCAUGUAGGAUGUAAAAUUCACACUGCUUGUGAGACAACUGUUGAUCAAAAGGCAAACUUCGUAUUGCUGUCCUGUGUUUCUAUCGAAUUUGGCGCACUGAACCUUGGUAGAAAACGCAGAGCCUUUUAAUUCAUCCCCUAGCUGGAAGAGACACGAUAAUACUACACUACCGCAUCGUAGCAUAACCCGUUGUUUUAAAAAAAAUAACACUUCUUAAAAUGUGUUUUGCUAACCAUUGUAGCUUGACAUUUAAUUUGCCUUCAAUCUAAUUAAUUCGAACUUGUUUCUUUGUUUGCAGAGUCAGGCUUCUCGAGAGACAUUGCAAUGUAGGUCAAAUUACAUAGCAACGCAUGUGCAGUCUAUAAUCUGUUCAUAUGCCAUCGUGCUUUUCUUUGACAAUCAAUUCUAAUGGAUCAUAAUGGCUUACAAAUUUAACGGUAAAUACUUGUAUACAGUGGCUCAGUGUAAGUUAAAUCCUCUCCUCGUCUCCAUAAAAGUUAAGACAGCAUGUUGAUAAUUAAAAUGUUCAAGCGAAAUACAAACGGGCACAUGGUGCACAUAAUGUUCUUCAAGAGGAUUAAAACAGAUGGUUGAGUAUGCGGAUAGCUGGGCUCACCAGGGGAAUUGCAGCUAUAGUAAUAUACUGGGGGAGGGGUAGGGCGAGAUGAAUCCACCACCCUUAUACUUUGUGGAGAUGUAAAAUUAUAAGAACCCUUGUCAAAACGUAAAUCAAUUCCAUUCGGGUUUGUAAAUAUUUAGGCAAUAUUUCCUCAAUAAUUUUAAAGGACGUUAAUUUUUCUCAUUACACGUUUCUGUUGAAAAUAUGGUUUUUAUUCGCUGCGUUACGUCGCUGCUUGUGCAUGGAGCACGCCUGACAACUACACGCACAUGUUGUAUUGACACACUGAAAAUAAUGCAGCAUGGCUGCAGCAAGCCCGCUCUGACAGCACAAGACAGAGUCUUAACCUCCUACUUAGACCGACGCCAAACAUACAACUACUAUAUGACUAAAAGCGAGGUUAAUGCAGUAAACCGCGCCACGUCCCCUCCUUCCCCACGUGCUUUUGACGGGAUUUAAUGCACGGUCCAUGUUUUUGUUAUUAUUGUGCAUCCCUUCCCUCCCCCCCCCCCACCACCAAACUCGGGAUGUCGUCGAUUUGCCAACUAGCCGACCAAUCAGCGCCAGGGUGACACUCUGAGUGACAUUCUCACUCUUCCAAUAGGAGCCGGCGGCAGUUCGAAUCACGCGCUCCAGCGAAGAGGGUGACGCAAUGUAUUCCAACCCGACCCGUCAACCUAACCUGGUAGUGCAGCCCUUGGUGACGCAGGCGAUCGGCGGUCUUCCACUUGGCCAAUGAAGUGGGCGGGUAAGGAUGCUACCUUCCCGACCGGGGAAGAGUGCGAGCAGCGCGGACCAAUGGGCGCCGGAGGGGGGCGGGGCGAGGGCGAUAGUAAAGCUGGGUUACGCUGCUCUGGCGUCUGUAACUUUGUACCGUCGGGAGAAGCGGGGAGGGAUAGGUAGAGAGGGAGUGAGAGGGAAUAUGAGUGUGUCUCUGGCUCGCCAGUUUCCUUGUCAGAGUGGGAGGAUAAGCGACAGCGAAGCGACGGCAGUGGCAGCGAACGUGGAGCUCCGCACGAGCCAGCCGGUGACCACCGAGUGACCGUGCGCGUGCCCCCGCGGGGGGGCGAGGGCUCGAGGCCAGCAGUCGGUGCGCGAGCGAGCGGGCGGGAGGGAGAUCGACCCGCAGAAACCUUUAAAAACCCCUGCACGGAAUUAUUAACCCCUUCCGCAUCUCUCGCUCAGAGGGAAAGCGGGGCGGUGGGUCCGGGCAGAGGCGAGUUUGUGUGACGCGGGGAGGGUGGCGGUGACACGGACUCACGAGCCAGCGAGUUAACGACCGUGUCAAGAUGGCAGCGGCGGCGGCGGCGACGGUCUGCUGAGCGCACUCGCCGAGCCCACUCCCUCACUCCAGUUUGAACCCGGUUGCCCGCCGUGCGGCAGAGUACGGCGUCCCGCGGCGCUUUGAGCCCCUACCACCUCAUCUUCACUCUCGCCCCACCGCCGCCGACCUUCCCCCGAGCGCAAACCAUGGCCGAGGGGGUCGCUCCCGCCCCGCUGGACAUAGACCCCGACUUCGAGCCGCAGACUCGUCCCCGCUCCUGCACCUGGCCUUUACCCCGACCCGACUUGCCCGGCUCUUCGUCUGCCUCGGGCAAGAAUGAUUCCGGGCCCGAAGCGGCGGAGAUGAUACCCGAGGAAGAGGAGGACAUCGACGAGCUGGGCAGCACUGAGUGCGGCUUGCCAGCCGUCCCGGGCUCGGGUCCGGGACCGGGCGGCGGAGAGCUGGUGCCGCAAGGGGUAGACGGUCUGAAGCAGCCGGCGGUGACGAGCGGACCGCAGGGAUCUUGCUCUCCGCCGCCGUCCUCGACUGCAGUCAGCGGCUCCGGCAGCGCCUUCAUUGUGGCGGGGACGGCUGUCGGUAGUACGGCCGGGCCGCAGCAUCGCAAAGCCUCGUCCCGUAGGAACGCCUGGGGCAACAUGUCGUACGCGGAUCUGAUCACGAAAGCCAUACAGAGUUCGGCGGACAAGAGGCUGACGCUAUCCCAGAUCUACGACUGGAUGGUCCGCUGCGUGCCCUACUUCAAGGAUAAAGGCGACAGCAACAGCUCGGCCGGCUGGAAGAAUUCAAUUCGCCAUAACCUUUCACUACAUAGUAGAUUUGUCAGAGUACAGAAUGAAGGUACAGGCAAAAGUUCUUGGUGGAUGAUCAAUCCAGAUGGUGGAAAAGGUGGGAAAUCUCCACGAAGGCGUGCUGUUUCCAUGGAUAAUAAUAACAAAUACGCAAAGAGCAGAGGUAGAGCAGCAAAGAAAAAGGCAGCCCUGCAAGCAGCACAAGAAAGUAAUGCUGAAAGUCCAUCGCCGCACACAAAAUGGCCUGGAAGCCCAACAUCUCGCAGCAGUGAUGAAUUUGAUGUAUGGACAGACUUCCGUUCUCGUACUAACUCAAAUGCUAGUACCUUGAGUGGACGACUUUCUCCUAUAUUAGCCAAUCCUGAACUUGACAAUGUUCAAGACGAUGAUGCGGCUCCUUUGUCUCCCAUGCUGUACACUAGUUCAUCCAGUGUUUCCCCGACUACAAAUAAACCAUGCACCGUUGAGCUCCCUCGGUUAACUGACAUGGCUGGAACCAUGAAUCUGAAUGAUGGAUUGACAGAACAUUUGAUGGAUGACUUACUGGACAAUAUUACUCUGACACCUACUCAACAAUCAUCACCUGGGAGUCUUGUGCAGAGGAGUUCAAGUUUUACUUAUGGGUCAAAGAGUUCUGGUUUAGGUUCCCCGAACAGUUUCAGCAAUUCCAUAUUUGGGCCACCUGCUUUGAAUGCUUUGCGGCAAACUCCCAUGCAAACUAUUCAAGAAAAUAAGCAAGCCACAUUUUCUUCCAUUUCUCAUUUUAACAACCAAACUUUACAAGAUCUACUUGCCUCUGAUUCUCACAGUGACGUUAUGAUGACUCAGUCAGAUCCUCUGAUGUCUCAGGCAAGUUCGGCAGUGUCUUUACAAAAUUCGCAUAGAAAUCUGAUUAUUCACAAUGAUCCAAUGAUGUCAUCCUUCACUGCUCAGUCUAAUCGGACAAACCAUAAUCCACUGCAUAGCCAGUCUCCAUCUCAUACUUCUGCACUUAUUGAUGAUAGUGCCUUGUCAAACUCCAUGAAUCAUGCAGCUUUACCAACAGACUCUAAUAAUGUCUCCACAAAACACCAGCUUCACUCAUCUGCCAAUCGGUCUAUGCAAAUAGGAUUGUCUGAUGCACUUUCUGGCCCUUCCUGUCCUGGUAGCAUGACUCUUCCAGCUAUAGGACAAGACAAGUUUCCUAGUGACUUGGACUUAGAUAUUUUCAAUGGGAGUUUAGACUGCGAUGUGGAAUCCAUCAUUCGUAAUGAACUUAUGGAUGCAGAUGGGUUAGAUUUCAAUUUUGAUUCACUCAUAUCUGCUCAGAGUGUUGUGAAUUUGAAUGUGGGAACUUUCACUGGUCCUAAACAAACAUCAUCACAGAGCUGGGUUCCAGGCUGAAGUUGCCUUUUACUGGUGGAAGCAGAUCAAGCUUGUUCGGCUUGGAAAACUAAGGGAUUACUAAGAUUUUCUGAUUUAUUUUUAGACAAUUGUUUCAUGUCUUUUGAGCAAUUAUCCAACGAAUAUAACUUGCCUAGAUUUCAUUUUUUUUUUAGAUAUUUACAGAUUAGACAUUUUUUAAGUUCUGUACUCCCUACAUUUCCAAAUUUUGUGCCUUCAGAUAUUUUGGAGAGUUUAUUUGAAUUAGACCCUUUUCAAAAAGGGCUUAUUUCAAAACUUUAUAAUAUAAUUAUGAAGAUACGUUCAGAGCCUCUUUAUAACACUAAAAAGGAUUGGGAAAGAGAGCUUAGUCUUAUUAUUUCUAGUGAGAAUUGGGAUAGAAUUCUUCAAUUAGUUAAUACAUCAUCGUUAUGUGCCAAACAUUCAUUAAUACAAUUUAAGGUCGUACAUAGGGCCCAUAUAUCCAAGGAUAAAUUAGCUCAUUUUUACUCUCAUAUUAGUCCUAUUUGUGAUAGAUGUCAAUCUGAAAUUGCGUCUUUAACUCAUGUUUUCAUCUUGUUCAUUUUUGGAGAAAUAUUGGAAAGAUAUUUUUGAUAUUAUUUCUGCUGUUUUGAAUAUUGAUUUACAACCUCAUCCUAUUACCGCAAUUUUUGGUUUACCAAUGUUAGACUCACUGCAUUUAUCUUCUUCUGCCCGUCAAAUGAUUGCAUUUCUAACUCUGAUGGCUAGAAGAUCUAUAUUGUUGAAUUGGAAGGAAAUUAAUCCUCUCACUGUAUUUAAUUGGUUCUCUCAAACUAUCUUAUGUUUAAAUUUAGAAAAAAUUAGAAGUGGUACUUUUGAGACUUCUAUUAAAUUUGAAAAGUUAUGGAGACCAUUUAUUCAACAUUUUCAUAUGAUGUAAUAUGACCCUGUGCCAAGUUCAUUUGAUUUCCCAGCUUUUAGCUUAUGUAUGUUGAGAGGACCGGAAGUCAACGACAUUGAUGAAUACUUAUUUUUGAGAGAUAUUAUAAACAGCCCCCUUUUUUUUCUCUCUUUUUUUUUGUUUCUUUUUUCUUCUAUAUUAGUUAUUAGAUUAGUAGAUUAGCUAGUUUUGCAUUAUAUAUAUAUUUUUUCCUUUUUUCUGUUUUCUUUAUAUCAUAUAUUAUGAAAUAUUUAGAUUUACCAUGUUCAUACAUAUAUUUUAUGGCUUAUGUCUUGGUAAACUCAUUUAUAUUGUAACUAUUAUGUAUGUUUUUUUCAUAUGUAAUGGAAUUUGUAUGUUGGUAAUUUCUUUAUCAAUAUAUCAUUUGUAUUCUGUCCAUAUUACUAAUAAUAAUAAAAAGAUAAAGAAUAUUGAUAGUGAGGAAUUUAAUGGUAACAGUCUCUUGUUGAAAAUGGUCACUAUCUGAAAUUUGUAUAAUGUGAACAUUAUUUGAUUAUCAGUUGAUGCUUGAAUGUUGUCUGAAUAUUGCUGCAUGCAGAUAUAUACUGCAUUAUCUGAAUAAUUUGGAUGGAUUCUUGUAUCGCGCAAUCAUUGGCAAAUAUCCCCACUCCUGACCUUAUGGAAAAAGAUAGACAGUUGAGGUGAAAGUAGUUGGCCCAAGGCACACCCGCAGUAACCAUGGCCUCUUUUAACUUCCUUUUCAUCAUAGCCUAUUGAAGCCAGGUUUGCUCUAUACCAGUGGUUCCCAAAGUAAAUAAUACAGCCCCACCUCCCAGGAGCGGUGGGAGUUGUCAAGGGGGGCGAUAAAGAUAAGGGAGCAGUGGGAUGGCUGCCUGCUAGCAAGGGGACAGCUGAGGGAAUACAGGCUUAAUUUAAGAAAUGAAUUACUAAUUAUAAGCAUUUGAUCAAAGUCAAUCCAAUAACUCUUUAAUGUUAGGGUUUAAGAUUUAGAUUCAAUGAUGAAAUGCCAUUUGCUCGUCAGGAUGGGAAGUAAAAUCAGUUUUCACCAUAUUUCUGUACAAGUUAACCCUAUCUAAGUGCAACAUUGGCUGUUGUGACCUUUUCCAAUUACUGAGCCUCUGAGUUGGAAGAGAAAGAAAGGAUACCAGAUAAUCUUCAAGUAUGCUGUGCCCACUCGACUGAGCUGCAUAAAGAUAUGUCAGACAGGUUUCAGGAUCUUCUCUCAGUCCAUAUUCCAGAUUGGGUAAUUAAUCUAUUCCUGAACACUUGUAAUGAAGAAUUAAUGGGAAGGAUGAGGGAAGAACUGAUCUCACUACAAAAUAACUUUGAGCUGAAGCAGAGGUUCAAAACAUCUUAAGACAAUUGGUUGCAGAAAGAAAUCUCUGAAUGCUUUGCUAUUGUGUGGAAAAAGGUCGAUGUUUUUAAUUGCCUUUCAAAUGUCAUAUUUAGUGAAGUUUGGUUUCAGUGCAGUCGCCCAACUUCUUUCAAAGCAACAAAACAGCUUGCAAAUUACUGAACAUGGGAAACUGGAAGACUCCUGAGUGACAUUCACCUGAUGUUGAGAGGCUGAUAUCACUGCGCCAAACCCAUCCAUCUCAUUGAAAGGUUAGUAAACUGAAUCAUUUUUGCCAGAUCGGCUAUCGUCAAGAUAACAUUGGAUUUUACCAAGUUUUGUCAGCUGUGAAUCUGAUAUCGUCAUCUGCAAUGGGACAUUUCCUGGAAUUUCAUCUCAAUUGAUAUAAGAUGUUAUACAAUUUACAUUUAAAAUGAUUUUGAAGUGUUUAAAAAUUACACAUAAACUGUACAGUUUCUCCUGCAUUCCAUUAUAUUUAACUGUAUAUAAAUUGUUGAUUAAUACGGGUUGGUGCAUAAUUUUAAUUUUAUUUGAUAAGAGCAUCUGCCUAUUGUCUCCAUCGUAUUAGGAUGAUUGAAAUGUUGAUAGAAUGGGUCUAAUGAGUAGUGCCAACAAAAGCAAGAAUAUUAAUGAGACAAUUAACACAUAAACUGAUGAAAUGAAGUGGGACAAAUUUGGUGUUGUCAGAAUGCCAGAAGACUUUAAAGCAGAUGAUUUUUAAAAAAAUCUUUUUUAACGUAAUACGCAAUUGAUUAAUUGGCAUUUUUAAAUAACUUGAAACUGCAUGAGCUUAUUCAGUGUUGAAGUGCUGGUUUGAAUGGACACCUCCAGUUUAUGACCCAACUUUAUUUGGUCUUCUGUAAUGGGGUUGGUGAUUAAAAAUACAUUUGUGUGUUGACAUUUCACUUAGCCUCAGUAAAACUUCAGACUUUGCUUGGCUUUCCAGACCAGUGCUAUGUAUAGACCAAUCUUGUGAGAAAUUGAUGGAAAGUUUUUUUUGUGUGUGUGUGUCUACACAAUAUGACAUUCAGAGAGAAAAAAAAGCCAAAAUAAUUUUCUCUCAAAGUUGCAUGCAUUGAAAUUUUAAUAUAUUUACAAGAUUGGACAGUUUUCUCUAUACAUUCAUAAUUUUUUCCAAAAUUCUUAUACUUUUAAACAAAAUAUCAUCCUCCCCAUUCUGAGUACAGAUUGAUUUGAUAUAACAAAUUGUAUCACCAGUUGACAAGCUGCCUCCCUUUUGAACAGAAUCAUCAAUGGUCAGCUUUAAUGUCUAUUUUCGGUAGGUACAUUUAUACUUAUAAAGUAAAUUGUUUUCAAUAAUGUAUUUCUGUAUGACAUUUGUACAUUUAUUGAAAGUUUUAUUGUACUGUGUACCCUUGAUCACCUUUUUGAAAUGUUUCUAUAUAAAUAUACAGCAGCUCAGAUUGCACCAAUUUAUGCAUAUUUCUUCAACUAAUGUGGAAGAUUUUUCUCUUUCAACAAUAGGGUAAUGCACAUUUAUAUUUUACUAUGUCCAGAGACAAAUCAUUAUGCAUGAUUAUUUAGUAGUAAAUUAGCAGUUUGCUUCAACUCAUUGCAUGAAGUUCAAGACCAUCGUGGUCAUUGAUGUCAGUGCUCCUGGGGAAGUGAGCAGUGAUGAAACUCUAUUGUAUAACUUAUCUGUCUCUCAUAAAUGAAUUCUUGUCUUUUCAUCAUGGAAGUCACCUGAAAAGGUGUGCUAUAUGCUAUUGUAUUUGUAGAAUGAUAGCAUAUCAGUUAUGGCUGUUGAAUUGCUUUCAUCAAAUAUAAAUGAAGUUUAAGGUAGUAUAUUCAUUCCUUUCAUUUAGCAAUAUUUUUAAUCUCUUGCUCCUUUUUUUUUCUUGAAAAAGAACCUUCUGAAUCGGGUAUUCAGAGAGAAUUCUAUUCCUGCCAAUUUUCACAGCCACAUCAUAGAAAAGUAAUUAAAAAGACCCAAAUUUCUGCUGAUCCCUUUGGAGUCUUAGUACAAAUCAUCACCCAAGUCUGAAUAUGUAGCAAAUCUUGGGUUGUAUCUCAGGAUAUGGAGAUGGAAUUGCAGUGAUUUACUGUAUCACAGUAUAACAAUAUUUAUGUAAGCCCUUUUGUGGUUUGUAUAAAAUUAAUGGGAGUGAAAUAUAGUGAUUUUAUUCUUAGAAAUUAAAUAAGUCCUAAUGAUUGGAACUUGUACAACUCAAAUCAUUCAUACAUGAGCCAACUUGCUAAAUUCACCUGUGCACUGCACGUUAAUCAGAUUCUGUGGCACAAUUGUUGUUUCACUUCAGAAAAUAGGCAAGUGGUAUGUUAGCUAUCAGUUAAAUCUAUUUGGUUUAAUGUACCUUGUAUGAAACUGCUACAAUUCUGUUUUCUGAAACAAAUCAUGCAGUUUUUAAAUUAAAUCUGUCCACUUUUCAUUUCUGCCUGCUCCAAUUGUUCAGAAACAUGGUGUCUGACACUGAUUAAAACUGAGCUGGGAUAUCGUGUAUUUUAUUUUUCAAGUUCAUAUAUUGGGAUAUAUAAUGUAUAUAAAAUUUAUAUUCAGAUACAUGAAUAUACUACCUUCCCUUCACCUCCUGUAAAUUUGAUAGUUUUGACAAGAAACCAGAAGUUCUAUUGAACUGCAGUUUUUUUAUUAAAUAAAUUAUUGGUAUGUAUUGCAAUGUACUUCAUUAAUCUGUGCUCUAGAAGAGUGCGCAUGUAAAAUAAAGCUUGAUAACACUA
Molecule: RNA transcript, 9116 nt
Organism: Hypanus sabinus (Atlantic stingray)
Lineage: Eukaryota; Metazoa; Chordata; Chondrichthyes; Myliobatiformes; Dasyatidae
Gene: foxo3b
Gene name: forkhead box O3b
Exons: 4
Source: RefSeq, a predicted model, not a curated record